This 792-nucleotide non-coding RNA is filed under the name Haemagogus leucocelaenus. Lineage: Eukaryota; Metazoa; Arthropoda; Insecta; Diptera; Culicidae. The record is from RNAcentral.
AGAUUAUUUUAUUUUAGUAAAAUUUUUUAUUUUUAUUUUAUUUUACAUGUAAAUUUUUGUAUGAAUUAAUUUUGUAUUUAAAAUAUAAAAUUUAUUUAUUUAUUCGCAGUAAUUAAUAUUAAUUUAAAAAAGAAAUUUUGUAUUAGUAAUAAUAUAUAGUAUUGGUAAAAUUUGUGCCAGCUACCGCGGUUAUACAAAUAAUACAAAUAAAAUUUUUUAGUAUUAGUUAAAUUUUAUGAUUUAAUAAUAUAAAUAUAAAUUUAUUGGGUAAAAUUUUUAAAUUUAUUUAUUUAUUAUUAAAAAAAAUUAUUUAAGCUAUAAACUUUUUGUUAUAAACUAGGAUUAGAUACCCUAUUAUUAAAAAUAAAUAUUAAAAUAUUAAAGUAGUAUUAGUUAUAUUCUUAAAAUUUAAAAAAUUUGGCGGUGUUUUAGUCUUUUUAGAGGAAUCUGUCCUAUAAUUGAUAAUCCACAUUGAACCUUACUUAGAUUUAUUAAAUUUGUAUAUCGCCGUCAUCAGAAUAUGUUAAUAGAUAAAAAUUUUCUUAAUAUUUUAUUAAAUAAAAUGUCAGGUCAAGGUGCAGUUUAUAUUUAAGUAGAGAUGGAUUACAAUAAAUUUAUUUAAAUGGAUAAAUUUUUGAAAUAAAAUUUUAAAAGUGGAUUUAAUAGUAAUAUAAAAUAGAUUAUUUAUAUGAUUUUAGCUCUAAAACAUGUACAUAUCGCCCAUCGUUCUUAUCUUUAAAAUAAGAUAAGUUGUAACAUAGUGGAUGUACUGGAAAGUGUAUCUAGAAAGAC